This 1686-nucleotide long non-coding RNA is filed under the name Mytilus galloprovincialis (Mediterranean mussel). Lineage: Eukaryota; Metazoa; Mollusca; Bivalvia; Mytilida; Mytilidae. The record is from RNAcentral.
AAAUUAAAAUAAUACAAGACUAACAAAGGCCAGAGGCUCCUGACUUGGGACAGUUUUUUGUUGAAUGUUUAAUGAUACAUUCAUAGUUACAUUAAGGUUUAUGACCCCAUUUGUAGCCAUUUUUGUACGAAUUUUUUCAAACUUCAAUUGUAUCAAAACUACAAAUGUAAUGAACAAUAGGGAUAGGCCAUUUUGUACAUAUACCAAGGGGAAACUUGAUGCAAAGCAUUAUUAUUUACCGUUUCAUUGCAUUUAAUAGAAAAAGAGUACUUUGUGACAAAUAAAUCAAGAUUUUUUAUAGAAAAUCCACAGCCUUUAAUACAGAGAUUUUUUUUAUAAAAUUUGAAACAUAUAUUACUCACUUGCUUUUAAGAUGUGCUGGUGUUUAUUUUUUACAAAAAGUUCUAAGCAGCCUGUAAUUUCCAAAAUACCUCGUGCUGAGUCCCUAAAAGGUGUACUUGAUUUGGUCCAUAUUUUAAUUUGUUUUAACCAAUAGAUACAUUAAUAAAUUCGUUUUAAUGUUUAAGGAAAUCAAUGCUAGCACUGCAUGCAAUAAUCUUAUAUCUAUCAGUCAUGAAAUUGCCAAAUAUUAGGGUACAAGGAUAAAUGCUGUGGAUUUUCUAUAAAAUUUCUAUUUGUUUAGACUUUAGCAUUGAAUUAACACAAGGGUAUACAUAAUCCUUAAAGAACAUUUUAUUUGUGUUUACGAAUUUCAAGGAGAUGAUAAAAGAGUCUUAAUGUAUCUUUUAAAAUGUGUCAUUUGCUUCUAUAGAAUAUAUGGUAUGAAAUGUUGAUUUUACACAAUUGAUUCUGAUUUAUUUGAAAUGUAACAAUGAAGUAGUAAAGUAUUAGUUAAAUCAUAUGUUAUAAAUAUUUAUAAAUUUGUUUUGAACCUACCUCAAAGGUUCUAAAAGUGAACAUUCAUUUAUAAAAUGAUAUUUAAUUUAAAAAGUUUUUAACAAAUGUUCUUUAAUAGAUAUGAAUGAUAGAAAAAACAAUUGUUAAUUAUUUAUUGUACAUGGCAUUAGAGAUACUCUUUCAGGCAUUUAACUGUUUUUUACACUGCCAACUGUCUAUUGAUACUGUGAAUUGCUUGCCACAUGGAGCAAAAUUCAUAAAAAGUGUGAUUUACAGAGAUUUGAUUUUAAUUCAUGGAUUAAGAGACAUUAUUCUGAAUGAAAAGUUUUCUUACAUGUAUUUAUCUUUUAACCUAAAUGUUUUACACUAUUUGGCUUUGACUUAUAUAUAUAUAUAUGCUUGAAGAGUAAGGUUAGCUUUUGCUUGCAUUUCUAAAGAAAAUUUGACUUUUAGAAAAAUAUGACGAUAUUAAAAAAGUUGAUCAACUUAACAUUCUAGCAAGGUGAGAUAUUAGAGAAAUAACUUGAUAUUCUGUCACCCAAGAGAAUACUUUUUAAGAGAUUGCACGAUAAUGAAUUGAAUUUACAAUAUUUGUAUUUACCUUCUUAAAGUGAUGUUGCUGCAUGAGCUGACUUCAUUUGUUAUUGUGUUCCCAUUGUGUACCACCCUUGUUAUACUUUAAGCAAACAUAGAAUAUUUAUAUUUAUAUUAACAUUCAGGCUGCAUUUAAUAUACUGUGUACUUCUGAAAAAAAAGGAACGUGAUAUAUUCCUGUUGUUUUAAUAUGGAAAAUGUAUCAUCCUUAAUCAAUAAAACUUGUUAAACAAA